CCCAUGAGGGGCGCGCCAAAGUUGAUCUGGAUGCAGGCUCCAAAGCUGCCAGCUGCAAUGGCAACAUGCUGCUGGAGGAAGUUGAGCCGAGGGGCCUGAUGGACGCCCUGGUGCUGAACGGCAGGAAAGUGGACGAGCUGCCUGCCGUGACCCACAGCCCACUGGAGGGAUCCCACAAGGAGGCAGCCCUGCGACUCCUGGGCAUGGAGCUGGAGAAGAGCCCCUUGCUACAUUCGGCCUACAUCCCGGUGCCCAGGCAGAGGAAGCUGUCGGGCAAGGC
Molecule: non-coding RNA, 280 nt
Organism: Pelodiscus sinensis (Chinese soft-shelled turtle)
Lineage: Eukaryota; Metazoa; Chordata; Testudines; Trionychidae
Source: RefSeq, a predicted model, not a curated record